This 483-nucleotide ribosomal RNA is filed under the name uncultured bacterium. RNAcentral's name for it is "partial 16S ribosomal RNA". It matches the Rfam family "Bacterial small subunit ribosomal RNA", at positions 28 to 507 of the family's 1533-position model. The record is from RNAcentral.
GACGAACGCUGGCGGCGUGCUUAACACAUGCAAGUCGAACGCUGAAGCUCAGCUUUUGUUGGGUGGAUGAGUGGCGAAAGGGUGAGUAACACGUGAGUAACCUGCCCCCUUCUUUGGGAUAACGCCCGGAAACGGGUGCUAAUACUGGAUAUUCACUGGUCUUCGCAUGGGGGUUGGUGGAAAGGGUUUUUCUGGUGGGGGAUGGGCUCGCGGCCUAUCAGCUUGUUGGUGGGGUGAUGGCCUACCAAGGGUUUGACGGGUAGCCGGCCUGAGAGGGUGACCGGUCACAUUGGGACGGAGAUACGGCCCAGACUCCUACGGGAGGCAGCAGUGGGGAAUAUUGCACAAUGGGCGCAAGCCUGAUGCAGCGACGCCGCGUGAGGGAUGGAGGCCUUCGGGUUGUGAACCUCUUUCGCUCAUGGUCAAGCCGCAACAAUGGUUGUGGUGAGGGUAGUGGGUAAAGAAGCGCCGGCUAACUACGUG